UUGGAGGGCAAGUCUGGUGCCAGCAGCCGCGGUAAUUCCAGCUCCAAUAGCGUAUAUUAAAGUUGUUGCAGUUAAAAAGCUCGUAGUUGAACCUUGGGCCUGGCUGGCCGGUCCGCCUCACCGCGUGUACUGGUCCGGCCGGGCCUUUCCUUCUGGGGAACCUCAUGCCCUUCACUGGGCGUGUUGGGGAACCAGGACUUUUACUUUGAAAAAAUUAGAGUGUUCAAAGCAGGCCUUUGCUCGAAUACAUUAGCAUGGAAUAAUAGAAUAGGACGUGUGGUUCUAUUUUGUUGGUUUCUAGGACCGCCGUAAUGAUUAAUAGGGAUAGUCGGGGGCAUCAGUAUUCAAUCGUCAGAGGUGAAAUUCUUGGAUUGAUUGAAGACUAACUACUGCGAAAGCAUUUGCCAAGGAUGUUUUCAUUAAUCAGUGAACGAAAGUUAGGGGAUCGAAGACGAUCAGAUACCGUCGUAGUCUUAACCAUAAACUAUGCCGACUAGGGAUCGGACGGUGUUAGUAUUUUGACCCGUUCGGCGCCUUACGGGAAAC
Molecule: ribosomal RNA, 546 nt
Filed under: uncultured Ascomycota
Lineage: Eukaryota; Fungi; Ascomycota
Description: SSU rRNA
Rfam family: Eukaryotic small subunit ribosomal RNA
Source: RNAcentral